This 364-nucleotide ribosomal RNA is filed under the name uncultured eukaryote. RNAcentral's name for it is "SSU rRNA". It matches the Rfam family "Eukaryotic small subunit ribosomal RNA", at positions 21 to 373 of the family's 1831-position model. The record is from RNAcentral.
AUUGUAGUCAUAUGCUUGUCUCAAAGAUUAAGCCAUGCAUGUCUAAGCACAAACUUUUACACAGUGAAGCUGCGAAUGGCUCAUUAGGUCACCCAUGAUUUCUUAGAUCGUACAAUCCUACUUGGAUAACUGUGGUAAUUCUAGAGCUAAUACAUGCGAGCAAGCUCCGACCCCUCGGGGAAAGAGCGCGUUUAUUAGAUCAAAACCAAUCGGACUCUCGGGUCCGUACGUUUGGUGACUCUGGAUAACUUUGUGCGGAUCGCACGGGCUUGACCCGGCGACGUAUCUUUCAAGUGUGUGCCCUAUCAACUUUCGAUGGUACGCGAUAUGCCUACCAUGGUUGCAACGGGUAACGGGGAAUAAU